UACGUAGGGGGCAAGCGUUGUCCGGAAUCAUUGGGCGUAAAGAGCGUGUAGGCGACCAGAUAAGUCCGCUGUGAAAUCUCGAGGCUCAACUUCGAGCUGUCGGUGGAAACUGUCUGGCUAGAGUCCGGAAGAGGAGAAUGGAAUUCCUGGUGUAGCGGUGAAAUGCGCAGAUAUCAGGAAGAACACCCGUGGCGAAGGCGGUUCUCUGGGACGGUACUGACGCUGAGACGCGAAAGCGUGGGGAGCGAACAGG
RNAcentral lists this ribosomal RNA (253 nucleotides) under uncultured bacterium. RNAcentral describes it as "partial 16S ribosomal RNA". It matches the Rfam family "Bacterial small subunit ribosomal RNA", at positions 524 to 776 of the family's 1533-position model. The record is from RNAcentral.